GAAACCAACAGGGAUUGCCCUAGUAACGGCGAGUGAAGCGGCAACAGCUCAAAUUUGAAAUCUGGCCUUCGGGUCCGAGUUGUAAUUUGUAGAGGAUGCUUUUGGCGCGGUGCCUUCCGAGUUCCUUGGAACAGGACGCCUUAGAGGGUGAGAGCCCCGUACGGUUGGACACCAAGCCUCUGUAAAGCUCCUUCGACGAGUCGAGUAGUUUGGGAAUGCUGCUCUAAAUGGGAGGUAAAUUUCUUCUAAAGCUAAAUACCGGCCAGAGACCGAUAGCGCACAAGUAGAGUGAUCGAAAGAUGAAAAGUACUUUGAAAAGAGGGUUAAAUAGCACGUGAAAUUGUUGAAAGGGAAGCGUUUAUGACCAGACCUUUGCCGGGCGGAUCAUCCGGUGUUCUUCACCGGUGCACUUCGCUCGGCUCAGGCCAGCAUCGAUUUCUGUAGGGGGACAAAGGCCCUGGGAACGUAGCUCCCUCCGGGGAGUGUUAUAGCCCUAGGCGUAAUACCUUUACGGGGAUCGAGGUUCGCGCUUCUGCAAGGAUGCUGGCGUAAUGGUCAUCAACGACCCGUCUUGAAACACGGACCAAGGAGUCGAACAUUUAUGCGAGUGUUUGGGUGUCAAACCCUCACGCGUAAUGAAAGUGAACGGAGGUGAGAGCCCUUUUUUGGGUGCAUCAUCGACCGAUCCUGAUGUAUUCGGAAGGAUUUGAGUAAGAGCAUAACUGUUCGGACCCGAAAGAUGGUGAACUAUGCGUGGAUAGGGUGAAGCCAGAGGAAACUCUGGUGGAGGCUCGCAGCGGUUCUGACGUGCAAAUCGAUCGUCAAAUCUGCGCAUGGGGGCGAAAGACUUAUCGAACCAUCUAGU
Molecule: ribosomal RNA, 865 nt
Filed under: Cryptosphaeria eunomia var. eunomia
Lineage: Eukaryota; Fungi; Ascomycota; Sordariomycetes; Xylariales; Diatrypaceae
Description: eukaryotic LSU rRNA
Rfam family: Eukaryotic large subunit ribosomal RNA
Source: RNAcentral